This 367-nucleotide ribosomal RNA is filed under the name uncultured prokaryote. RNAcentral describes it as "partial 16S ribosomal RNA". The record is from RNAcentral.
ACCAAACCAUGAAACCAACAUAAACAUUAUUGCCCGGCGUACGGGGAAGGACGUCAAUAGUCACACAGUCCUUGACGGUAUAAUAACCACCAUCAUGGCGACCAUCCAAAGGAUAAACAUCAUAGGCAGUCGGGAGGGUAGUCGGAACCGAAGAAGACUCAAAGCGAACCAAACAGGCAAAAAAUUUAGGGUCGGCAUCAAAAGCAAUAUCAGCACCAACAGAAACAACCUGAUUAGCGGCGUUGACAGAUGUAUCCAUCUGAAUGCAAUGAAGAAAACCACCAUUACCAGCAUUAACCGUCAAACUAUCAAAAUAUAACGUUGACGAUGUAGCUUUAGGUGUCUGUAAAACAGGUGCCGAAGAAGC